GAUGAACGCUGGCGGCGUGCCUAACACAUGCAAGUCGAACGAAGCACCUUACCUGAUUCUUCGGAUGAAAGUUUGGUGACUGAGUGGCGGACGGGUGAGUAGCGCGUGGGUAACCUGCCCUGUACAGGGGGAUAACAGCUGGAAACGGCUGCUAAUACCGCAUAAGCGCACGAGGAGACAUCUCCUUGUGUGAAAAACUCCGGUGGUACAGGAUGGGCCCGCGUCUGAUUAGCUGGUUGGCAGGGUAACGGCCUACCAAGGCAACGAUCAGUAGCCGGUCUGAGAGGAUGAACGGCCACAUUGGAACUGAGACACGGUCCAAACUCCUACGGGAGGCAGCAGUGGGGAAUAUUGCACAAUGGGGGAAACCCUGAUGCAGCAACGCCGCGUGAGUGAAGAAGUAUUUCGGUAUGUAAAGCUCUAUCAGCAGGGAAGAUAAUGACGGUACCUGACUAAGAAGCUCCGGCUAAAUACGUG
This 477-nucleotide ribosomal RNA is filed under the name uncultured bacterium. RNAcentral's name for it is "partial 16S ribosomal RNA". It matches the Rfam family "Bacterial small subunit ribosomal RNA", at positions 28 to 507 of the family's 1533-position model. The record is from RNAcentral.